Molecule: long non-coding RNA, 1553 nt
Organism: Eucalyptus grandis
Lineage: Eukaryota; Viridiplantae; Streptophyta; Magnoliopsida; Myrtales; Myrtaceae
Exons: 4
Source: RefSeq, a predicted model, not a curated record
UGGUCUAUUUGAAUGACAAUGUCAAUUGAAAGUGUCUAUGAAUUAUGAUUACUCGAACUUUACUUGUGCCAGAGGUGCUGCAGAUGCAUCACCAGAGACUUUGCUGAAAAAUUGCACUAUAGCUGGAAUUGACAGACGAGUGUUCCCAUCUAGUGUCUUUCUGGCUUAUUCUGGAUCAACUCCAGCAGCUUGGUACACCAAUUCUUCAACCUUUCUAUAGAUGGAUAGACUUUUUUUUUUCCUUCCAGCAUCAUUUUAAUUGAAUAUGAGAUGAUGCUUGUUGAAUGGUGAGUUAAUAAUCCAGUCAUUGAAACUAAGUAUUUACCCCAUCUGUUUUCUGAGAUGCUGGGCGUGGAGGAUGGAUAGAGCGCUGAUUGAAAAUGGAUAUAUGGGGAGAGAUUGAUGAAUGUCUGGGGACCACUUGAGUAGGCAUGGAUGGUUCUAAUAUAAAUGGGUUGCUUCGUUCUGUUACAUGAUAAUUGAAUAUCAUGAAUAGUGCGUGCGGAAUUAUCACGUUCAAAUGUGCAAGUAUCGACUGCCAGUGAUGAUGGCCUAGUGGGUCUGCCCACCUUGGAUUGACGGGUCACAAAUGGGGCUAAGUCAUGACUUGCGAACAUUUCAUCGUGAGAUAAUGCCCAGAGACAGUAGACAUGCUGGUUGUUCCUCCUUGCACAUUCUGGAUUGGCAAGGAUAAGAAAGCAAAGAAGUGGCAAGUAGAGGGAUACACUGAUUGUUGUGACGUGAUCAACCAAAUUUGGCGUGUUUCCAUAAUUUACUACCUUUGAUGUUCAGUUUCGGAGUAUUGCUUUUGCAAAAUUUGGACCAUUGAAUGGCAUCAUAAACACUUCUUUGAUCAUGGCUCAUUUUGUCUUUGGGCAUUGAUCAGUGAUGAAUAAAUUUCUCUGCACAAUACUACUUUUAGUUUUAUUGAAUCUAUUCUCUUUGAUUGUUUAAGAGAAACUUGUGACGGAUAGAAUGCUUCAUGUUUGCUUCUUUCUGCAUCCACGUCUCAGUUUUUCUGAAUAAAAAUCUGUCAGACAGUGGCUACAGCAUUUGUAGAAGGCGCUGCAGAUGCAUGACGGGAGAUUGUGGCAGAUAGAGUGUGCUCGCUAGCUGAAUUAAUCUGAGGCGCAUCAUCUUCUGCCUUAUGGGGAUUGAUUCAAAUCUACUUGAUAUAACCAUUCUUCAACUUUUCAGAUGUUUGAUGGAAAAGGCUGGUUGUGUAACUCAAAGAAAGGAAUCUAUUUGAGCAAAUCAGAAAUUGAAUUGAAAGGUAGAUAAACAUACACACACAAAGGCUCCCACUUUCCAACGAUAUGAACAGGAUAUCCUAGGAGAUCAUGAACCUUCAAGAUGAGAUCUGAGAAUUUUUCCGGGAAUAAUUGUAAAGUUGUCUGAGAGAAGUCAACAAUUGACCAAAUUUCAAACGAGUUAAAUGCAUUUAUUGCAAUCGUCACAUACUACGGCCAGUCUUUCCAUGUUCAUCAGUGAUCCCAAGCUCUCGAGGCUGUCCUCAGUAGAAGGGUAAGAAGCAAACAUGUUAGAAUCAACAC